UACUCGAGUGGCGAACGGGUGAGUAACACGUGGGUGAUCUGCCCUGCACUUCGGGAUAAGCUUGGGAAACUGGGUCUAAUACCGGAUAGGAGCCAUCUUUAGUGUGGUGGUUGGAAAGUUUUUUCGGUGUAGGAUGAGCUCGCGGCCUAUCAGCUUGUUGGUGGGGUAAUGGCCUACCAAGGCGGCGACGGGCAGCCGGCCUGAGAGGGUGUACGGCCACAUUGGGACUGAGAUACGGCCCAG
Molecule: ribosomal RNA, 243 nt
Filed under: uncultured Actinomycetales bacterium
Lineage: Bacteria; Bacillati; Actinomycetota; Actinomycetes; Actinomycetales
Description: partial 16S ribosomal RNA
Rfam family: Bacterial small subunit ribosomal RNA
Source: RNAcentral